AUUGAACGCUGGCGGCAUGCCUUACACAUGCAAGUCGAACGGUAACAGGUUAAGCUGACGAGUGGCGAACGGGUGAGUAAUGUAUCGGAACGUGCCCAGUCGUGGGGGAUAACUGCUCGAAAGAGCAGCUAAUACCGCAUACGACCUGAGGGUGAAAGCGGGGGAUCGCAAGACCUCGCGCGAUUGGAGCGGCCGAUAUCAGAUUAGGUAGUUGGUGAGGUAAAGGCUCACCAAGCCGACGAUCUGUAGCUGGUCUGAGAGGACGACCAGCCACACUGGGACUCAGACACGGCCCAGACUCCUACGGGAGGCAGCAGUGGGGAAUUUUGGACAAUGGGCGCAAGCCUGAUCCAGCCAUGCCGCGUGCGGGAAGAAGGCCUUCGGGUUGUAAACCGCUUUUGUCAGGGAAGAAAAGGUUCUGGCUAAUACCUGGGACUCAUGACGGUACCUGAAGAAUAAGCACCGGCUAACUACGUG
RNAcentral lists this ribosomal RNA (477 nucleotides) under uncultured bacterium. RNAcentral's name for it is "partial 16S ribosomal RNA". It matches the Rfam family "Bacterial small subunit ribosomal RNA", at positions 30 to 507 of the family's 1533-position model. The record is from RNAcentral.